RNAcentral lists this ribosomal RNA (786 nucleotides) under uncultured bacterium. RNAcentral's name for it is "bacterial SSU rRNA". It matches the Rfam family "Bacterial small subunit ribosomal RNA", at positions 8 to 796 of the family's 1533-position model. The record is from RNAcentral.
AGAGUUUGAUCAUGGCUCAGAGCGAACGCUGGCGGUGUGCUUAACACAUGCAAGUCGAGUGCGCGGUUGUAGCAAUACAACUGGCGCACGGCGCACGGGUGCGUAACACGUGGGUAAUCUGCCCUCUGAUGGGGAAUAACUCGCCGAAAGGCGAGCUAAUACCGCAUAACAUUCCUUGGACUCCGGUUCGAGGAUUCAAAGGCGUAAGUCGUCGGAGGUGGAGCCCGCGCACGAUUAGCUAGUUGGUAGGGUAAAGGCCUACCAAGGCUAUGAUCGUUAGCUGGUCUGAGAGGAUGGCCAGCCACACUGGAACUGAGACACGGUCCAGACUCCUACGGGAGGCAGCAGUGGGGAAUCUUGCACAAUGGGCGAAAGCCUGAUGCAGCGACGCCGCGUGGGGGAUGAAGCUUCUCGGAGUGUAAACCCCUUUCGACCGGGACGAAUACCUCGCAAGAGGGGUGACGGUACCGGUAUAAGAAGCCCCGGCUAACUACGUGCCAGCAGCCGCGGUAAGACGUAGGGGGCCAGCGUUGCUCGGAAUUACUGGGUGUAAAGGGUUCGUAGGCGGUGUGGCAAGUCGGGAGUGAAAUCUCUGGGCUCAACUCAGGGGCUGCUUCCGAAACUGCCGUGCUAGAGUGUGGGAGAGGCGCGUGGAAUUGCAGGUGUAGCGGUGAAAUGCGUAGAUAUCUGCAGGAACACCCGUGGCGAAAGCGGCGCGCUGGACCACUACUGACGCUGAGGAACGAAAGCUAGGGGAGCAAACAGGAUUAGAUACCCUAGUAGUCC